Molecule: small RNA, 94 nt
Filed under: Kaistella antarctica
Lineage: Bacteria; Pseudomonadati; Bacteroidota; Flavobacteriia; Flavobacteriales; Weeksellaceae
Description: Chryseobacterium antarcticum Flavo-1 RNA
Rfam family: Flavo-1 RNA
Source: RNAcentral
UUUUACCCCCGAUCGGAGUGGCAUCCUUUUUCUUUUUUGAAGUGGAAUAGGCGGAGGAGGAAAGAAAAAGAUAUAACGGAGAGCGGGAAAUAGG